AUUGAACGCUGGCGGCAGGCUUAACACAUGCAAGUCGAGCGGUAGCACAGGGGACCUUGCUCCCUGGGUGACGAGCGGCGGGCGGGUGUGACAUGUCUGGGACACUGCUUGAUGGAGGGGGAUAACUACUGGAAACGGUAGCUAAUACCGCAUAACGUCGCAAGCCCAAAGAGGGGGAGCUACGGGCCUCUUGCCAUCAGAUGUGCCCAGAUGGGAUUAGCUAGUAGGUGGGGUAAUGGCUCACCUAGGCGACGAUCCGUAGCUGGUCUGAGAGGAUGACCAGCCACACUGGAACUGAGACACGGUCCAGACUCCUACGGGAGGCAGCAGUGGGGAAUAUUGCACAAUGGGCGAAAGCCUGAUGCAGCCAUGCCGCGUGUGUGAAGAAGGCCUUCGGGUUGUAAAGCACUUUCAGCGAGGAGGAAGGUGGUGGGCUUAAUACGUUCAUCAAUUGACGUUACUCGCAGAAGAAGCACCGGCUAACUCCGUG
Molecule: ribosomal RNA, 490 nt
Filed under: uncultured bacterium
Lineage: Bacteria
Description: partial 16S ribosomal RNA
Rfam family: Bacterial small subunit ribosomal RNA
Source: RNAcentral